Non-coding RNA from Acanthosepion pharaonis, 111 nucleotides. The record is from the annotation of a GenBank genome assembly. Lineage: Eukaryota; Metazoa; Mollusca; Cephalopoda; Sepiida; Sepiidae.
UAGCCAUAUCACUUUGAAACACUAGUUCUCACCCAAUCACUGAAGUUAAGCAACAUCAAACCUAUUCAGUACUUAGAUGGGUGACCACUUUGGAAUACUAGGUGCUGUAAG